AUGCAAGUCGAACGAUGAUCCGGAGCUUGCUUCGGGGAUUAGUGGCGAACGGGUGAGUAACACGUGAGUAACCUGCCCUUGACUCUGGGAUAAGCGCUGGAAACGGCGUCUAAUACCGGAUACGACCUACCCCGGCAUCGGGUGUGGGUGGAAAGUUUUUCGGUCAAGGAUGGACUCGCGGCCUAUCAGCUUGUUGGUGAGGUAAUGGCUCACCAAGGCGACGACGGGUAGCCGGCCUGAGAGGGUGACCGGCCACACUGGGACUGAGACACGGCCCAGACUCCUACGGGAGGCAGCAGUGGGGAAUAUUGCACAAUGGGCGAAAGCCUGAUGCAGCAACGCCGCGUGAGGGAUGACGGCCUUCGGGUUGUAAACCUCUUUUAGUAGGGAAGAAGGACUUCGGUUUGACGGUACCUGCAGAAAAAGCACCGGCUAACUACGUGCCAGCAGCCGCGGUAAUACGUAGGGUGCAAGCGUUGUCCGGAAUUAUUGGGCGUAAAGAGCUCGUAGGCGGUUUGUCGCGUCUGCUGUGAAAACCCGAGGCUCAACCUCGGGCCUGCAGUGGGUACGGGCAGACUAGAGUGCGGUAGGGGAGAAUGGAAUUCCUGGUGUAGCGGUGGAAUGCGCAGAUAUCAGGAGGAACACCGAUGGCGAAGGCAGUUCUCUGGGCCGUAACUGACGCUGAGGAGCGAAAGCGUGGGGAGCGAACAGGAUUAGAUACCCUGGUAGUCCACGCCGUAAACGUUGGGCGCUAGAUGUGGGGACCUUUCCACGGUUUCCGUGUCGCAGCUAACGCAUUAAGCGCCCCGCCUGGGGAGUACGGCCGCAAGGCUAAAACUCAAAGGAAUUGACGGGGGCCCGCACAAGCGGCGGAGCAUGCGGAUUAAUUCGAUGCAACGCGAAGAACCUUACCAAGGCUUGACAUAUACGAGAACGGGCCAGAAAUGGUCAACUCUUUGGACACUCGUAAACAGGUGGUGCAUGGUUGUCGUCAGCUCGUGUCGUGAGAUGUUGGGUUAAGUCCCGCAACGAGCGCAACCCUCGUUCUAUGUUGCCAGCACGUUAUGGUGGGAACUCAUAGGAGACUGCCGGGGUCAACUCGGAGGAAGGUGGGGAUGACGUCAAAUCAUCAUGCCCCUUAUGUCUUGGGCUUCACGCAUGCUACAAUGGCCGGUACAAAGGGCUGCGAUACCGUAAGGUGGAGCGAAUCCCAAAAAGCCGGUCUCAGUUCGGAUUGAGGUCUGCAACUCGACCUCAUGAAGUCGGAGUCGCUAGUAAUCGCAGAUCAGCAACGCUGCGGUGAAUACGUUCCCGGGCCUUGUACACACCGCCCGUCAAGUCAUGAAAGUCGGUAACACCCGAAGCCGGUGGCCUAACCUUUUGGAGGGAGCCGUCGAAGGUGGGAUCGGUGAUUAGGACUAAGUC
Molecule: ribosomal RNA, 1425 nt
Filed under: Microbacteriaceae bacterium
Lineage: Bacteria; Bacillati; Actinomycetota; Actinomycetes; Micrococcales; Microbacteriaceae
Description: bacterial SSU rRNA
Rfam family: Bacterial small subunit ribosomal RNA
Source: RNAcentral